Non-coding RNA from Dipodomys ordii (Ord's kangaroo rat), 70 nucleotides. NCBI's taxonomy places the organism in Eukaryota, Metazoa, Chordata, Mammalia, Rodentia, Heteromyidae. The record is from Rfam.
GAAGGUGGCUCAGUGGUAAAGUGCUUGCCUUGCAUGCAUGAGGCCCUGGGUUCAUUCCUCAGUACCAUCU